GCGGCGGACGGGUGAGUAACGCGUGAGCAACCUGCCUUAUACAGGGGGAUAACACAUCGAAAGAUGUGCUAAUACCGCAUAAUAUACCUUUGCCGCAUGGUGGAGGUAUCAAAGGAGUGAUCCGGUAUAAGAUGGGCUCGCGUCUGAUUAGCUAGUUGGUAGGGUAACGGCCUACCAAGGCGACGAUCAGUAGCCGACCUGAGAGGGUGACCGGCCACAUUGGGACUGAGACACGGCCCAGACUCCUACGGGAGGCAGCAGUGGGGGAUAUUGCGCAAUGGGGGAAACCCUGACGCAGCGACGCCGCGUGAAGGAAGAAGGCCUUCGGGUCGUAAACUUUUGUCUUCUGGGACGAAAUAUGACGGUACCAGAGGAGGAAGCCACGGCUAACUACGUGCCAGCAGCCCCGGUAAUACGUAGGUGGCGAGCGUUGUCCGGAAUUACUGGGUGUAAAGGGCGCGUAGGCGGGGCUGCAAGUCAGAUGUGAAAUACCGGG
RNAcentral lists this ribosomal RNA (496 nucleotides) under uncultured bacterium. Its description in RNAcentral is "bacterial SSU rRNA". It matches the Rfam family "Bacterial small subunit ribosomal RNA", at positions 95 to 606 of the family's 1533-position model. The record is from RNAcentral.